Molecule: ribosomal RNA, 620 nt
Filed under: Escherichia coli
Lineage: Bacteria; Pseudomonadati; Pseudomonadota; Gammaproteobacteria; Enterobacterales; Enterobacteriaceae
Description: partial 23S ribosomal RNA
Rfam family: Bacterial large subunit ribosomal RNA
Source: RNAcentral
GGGUAGUUUGACUGGGGCGGUCUCCUCCUAAAGAGUAACGGAGGAGCACGAAGGUUGGCUAAUCCUGGUCGGACAUCAGGAGGUUAGUGCAAUGGCAUAAGCCAGCUUGACUGCGAGCGUGACGGCGCGAGCAGGUGCGAAAGCAGGUCAUAGUGAUCCGGUGGUUCUGAAUGGAAGGGCCAUCGCUCAACGGAUAAAAGGUACUCCGGGGAUAACAGGCUGAUACCGCCCAAGAGUUCAUAUCGACGGCGGUGUUUGGCACCUCGAUGUCGGCUCAUCACAUCCUGGGGCUGAAGUAGGUCCCAAGGGUAUGGCUGUUCGCCAUUUAAAGUGGUACGCGAGCUGGGUUUAGAACGUCGUGAGACAGUUCGGUCCCUAUCUGCCGUGGGCGCUGGAGAACUGAGGGGGGCUGCUCCUAGUACGAGAGGACCGGAGUGGACGCAUCACUGGUGUUCGGGUUGUCAUGCCAAUGGCACUGCCCGGUAGCUAAAUGCGGAAGAGAUAAGUGCUGAAAGCAUCUAAGCACGAAACUUGCCCCGAGAUGAGUUCUCCCUGACUCCUUGAGAGUCCUGAAGGAACGUUGAAGACGACGACGUUGAUAGGCCGGGUGUGUAAGCGCA